This 1362-nucleotide ribosomal RNA is filed under the name Paraiberobathynella cf. fagei ABI-2012. RNAcentral describes it as "SSU rRNA". It matches the Rfam family "Eukaryotic small subunit ribosomal RNA", at positions 1 to 1346 of the family's 1831-position model. Lineage: Eukaryota; Metazoa; Arthropoda; Malacostraca; Bathynellacea; Parabathynellidae. The record is from RNAcentral.
UUACCUGGUUUGAUCCUGCCAGUAGUCAUAUGCUUGUCUCAAAGAUUAAGCCAUGCAUGUCUAAGUACAGGCCGAAACAAGGCGAAACCGCGAAUGGGUCAUUAAAUCAGUUAUGGUUCAUUGGAUCUUACCUUGUUUUACUUGGAUAACUGUGGUAAUUCUAGAGCUAAUACGUGAUACCCCAGCUCCGACCGCAAGGAAAGAGCGCUUUUAUUAGAUCAAAACCAAUCGGGCUUCGGUCCGUUCUCACUGUGGUGACUCUGAAUAACUUUGAGCUGAGCGCAUGGUCUUCGAACCGGCGCCAUAUCCUUCAAGUGUCUGCCUUAUCAGCUUUCGAUUGUAGGUUAUGCGCCUACAAUGGCUAUAACGGGUAACGGGGAAUCAGGGUUCGAUUCCGGAGAGGGAGCCUGAGAAACGGCUACCACAUCUAAGGAAGGCAGCAGGCACGCAAAUUACCCACUCCCGGCCCGGGGAGGUAGUGACGAAAAAUAACGAUGCGGGACUCUUCCGAGGCCUCGCAAUCGGAAUGAGCACACUUUAAAUCCUUUAACGAGGAUCUAUUGGAGGGCAAGUCUGGUGCCAGCAGCCGCGGUAAUUCCAGCUCCAAUAGCGUAUAUUAAAGUUGCUGCGGUUAAAAAGCUCGUAGUUGGAUCUCAGUUCCGGACCGACGGUUCACCGCCCGGUGCUUACUGUCGGCUUCCGAACAGCCGCACGCCGGCUCGGCCAGGGUGCUCUUCAUCGAGUGUCCUGGUUUCGGCCGGCACGUUUACUUUGAAAAAAUUAGAGUGCUCAGCGCAGGCUGCAACGCCUGAAUAAUCUGUGCAUGGAAUAAUGGAAUAGGACCUCGGUUCUAUUUUGUUGGUUUUCGGAACCCGAGGUAAUGAUUAAUAGGAACUGUCGGGGGCAUUCGUAUUGCGACGUUAGAGGUGAAAUUCUUGGAUCGUCGCAAGACGGACUACUGCGAAAGCAUUUGCCAAGAAUGUUUUCAUUAAUCAAGAACGAAAGUUAGAGGUUCGAAGGCGAUCAGAUACCGCCCUAGUUCUAACCAUAAACGAUGCCAACCAGCGAUCCGCCGGCGUUAUUCCCAUGACUCGGCGGGCAGCUUCCGGGAAACCAAAGUCUCUGGGUUCCGGGGGAAGUAUGGUUGCAAAGCUGAAACUUAAAGGAAUUGACGGAAGGGCACCACCAGGAGUGGAGCCUGCGGCUUAAUUUGACUCAACACGGGGAACCUCACCAGGCCCGGACACCGGAAGGAUUGACAGAUUGAGAGCUCUUUCUCGAUUCGGUGGGUGGUGGUGCAUGGCCGUUCUUAGUUGGUGGAGCGAUUUGUCUGGUUAAUUCCGAUAACGAACGAGACUCAAA